This 5328-nucleotide ribosomal RNA is filed under the name Triticum aestivum (bread wheat). Its description in RNAcentral is "partial small subunit ribosomal RNA". The record is from RNAcentral. Lineage: Eukaryota; Viridiplantae; Streptophyta; Magnoliopsida; Poales; Poaceae.
AUGGAGUUCUCCCGCCGCGGCCCAGCCACCGACGACCCUCCGCCGCACGGGGAGGCAAUGCUGGUGAUGAGGGACGCCCUGCUGUGGCAGCUCCAGAAGGACCGCCUUCGCCAGGAGAUCAUCGUGGCCGAGCUGGCCAAGAUAGAGUGCGCCACGGCCCUGCGCGCUGUGUCCGGUCACCACGGCACGCCAAUGCCCCGGGACAGCAUGCCGCAGCACAGAGGGCCCGUCUUCGGCUGGGAACACUACGCCGACGUGGGUGAGGAAAAUGAUGUGAAGCUACCAAGCAACUAUGGAAGGCAGAGUGCAGAGUCCAGAUUUUGGAACCCCGCCGUGGAAGAUCGCGCAGAAAAAUGCUGCAGCCCGUGCAAAUGCAGGGUUAAUUCGGGUGAACAUAACUCGGCAUUUGAUGAACAGAAACCGCGAGAUUCCAGUGAGAAUGUUCCUCCAGAUAAAGCGUCGCCUGCGGAGAAGUGGGAACUGACAGGAAUAACCAUACCAGUUAAGAAGCCGAAGCCACCCAUGAGCCCCAGAAAAAGAAAGAAGCCACCCACAAGAUGGAUUUGCCCGGUGUGCCAGGUACAAGUAAACUCUGCGCAGAAGCAUUGUGCUGGGAAGAAGCACCAGUCAAAUAUAGCAACAUUGGAAUCAAACAUUAAGGCCAUCGGUUAUCAGAAGAUUCAGAAGCCACCUUUAGCAGGUUGCAGCAUUUGUCAAGUUAUGUGUGGCAGCGAAUCAAAUCUUGAGAUCCACCUGACGGGUAAAAGGCACUUAAAGAAGAUUCAAGCUCUAUUCGAAGAAAGCAAUAACAAGGCAAUCAAUUCUGAGUCUCUAAAAGCAAACUUGAACCCAGACAGCGGGCCGCUACAUGUGGAGAAAAUGAACUGUGACUUAGACUCAGAGAACCACCUCAGAGAUGAAAGACACAAACUGAAUGUUCCAGAAAUUUCCAAAGAACAAACACCAUCCUCGGAAUGGGAUUGCACUAUGUGCCAGGCCAAAUGUGUCUCUAAAGCCCAUUUCGAGAAUCACUGCAUAAGCAGAAAGCAUCAACAGAGGACCCAGGUGAUACUCAGCGAAGGCGAUAUCACGAAAACGGGCAGGACCCAUGUGAUACUUAGCGAAGGCGAUGUCACGAAAAUGGGCAAUCUCCACAUGGAAGCAUCAUGCAAAGAAGGCAGUAACAACGAUAUGACAAAGAACAUUGCGUCACAGGAAGCAAAAUCGGAUGAGAGCAAUGUGCCAGAGCAUGCAGAGAAACCACCUUCAGCACAGAGUUGCAACAUUUGCCAAGGUAUCUGUAACUGUGCACCAGAUUUUGAUAUGCCACAACAUGUAGAGGAUAUUAGUUGCAAAUUAAACUGGGAGAGCUACCCCAGGCUCAGAGACCAGAGUCUCCAACUGAUGGAUGAUUGUGCCCUUCGUGAAAAAUUUAACCAAGAAAAAAGCAAUCCACCAGAAGUUUCCAAGGACCAAAUAUCAUCCUCAGAAUGGGACUGCGCUACAUGCCAGGCCAAAUGUAACUCUGCACCUCAAACCGAGCAUCACUGUAAAAGCGGAAAGCAUCAACAGAAGAUCGAUGUGACACUCCAUGAAGGCGAUAUUGCCGAGGUUAGCAGUCUCAGUGCAGCCCCAUGCAAAGAAGACAAUAACAGUCAUAUGGACGUUACGCCAUGGGAAGCAAAAUCGGAUGAGUGCAUUGUGUCGCAGCAUGUAGAGAAGCCACCUUCAGUAUGGAGUUGCAGCGAUUGCCAAGUUAUCUGUGCCCGCGAAUCAGAUUUUGAGGUCCACCUGAAGCGUGAAAGGCACUUGAUGAAGAUUGGAGCCCUGCUCGAAGUAAGUAAGAACAUGGCAAUUUCCGAGUCACAGAAAGCAAACCUGUACCCGGACAGUGUGCCGCAGCAUGCGGAGAAAAUGAAUUGUGAAUUAGACUUGGAGAACAACCUCAGAGAUGAGAGACACCAACUGAAUGUUCGCUCCCCUUGCAAAGAAAACAACCAAAUGAAAAACAAUCCUCCACAAAUUGUCAAGGACCAAGAACCACCCUCAGAAUGGGAUUGCGCUAUGUGUAAGGACAAAUGUAACUCUGAACCUCAGAUUGAGCAUCAUUGUGAAAGCAGAAGGCAUCAACAGAAGACCGAUGUGACGCUCCGUGAAUGCGAUAUUGCGAUAGUGAACAGUCUCCACAUCACAGCCUUAUGCAAGGAAGGCGAUAACAACAGCACGGGCAUUACACCACAGGAAGCAAAAUCAGACGAGAACAAUGUGCAGCAGCAUGCAGAGAAGCCACCUCCGGCAUGGGAUUGCAGCGAUUGUCUAGUUACGUUUAAUCGCGAAUCAGAUUUGAUGUUCCACCUGAACGGUAAAAGACACUUAAAGAAGUUUUGGGCCCUACUCGAAGAAAGCAAGAAUAAGGCAAUGAAUUCUGAGUCACAGACAGCAAACAUGAACCAGGACAGUGUGCCACAGCAUGCGGAGAAAACAAAUUGCGAACUGAACUGGGAGAGCUACCUCAGACUCAGAGACGAGAAACACCAACUCAAUGUUCAGGCCUGUGAAGCAAUCAACAAAGAUAAAAACAGUCCAGCAAAAAAGGACCAAAUACCGUCCUCGGAAUGGGACUGCGCUAUGUGCCAGGCCAAAUGUAACUCUAAAGCUCAACUUGAGCAUCACUGCACAAGCAGAAAGCAUUGGCAGAAGACCCAGGUUGUACUUGGCGAAGGUGAUAUUGCAAAUGUAAGCAGUCUUUGCCUCGAAGCCCCAUGCAAAGAAGUCAGUAACAACGAUAUGGCGAAGAACAUUGUGUCACAGGAAGCAAAGUUGCAUGAGAAAAAUGUGCUAAAGCAUGCAGAGAAGCCACCUUUAGUAGGUUGCAGCAUUUGCCAAGUUAUCUGUGGCCGCGAAUCAGAUCUAGAGAUCCACCUGAAGGGUAAAAGGCACUUGAAGAUUCGAACUCUUUUCGAAGAAAGCAAUAAGGCUAUCAAUUCUGAGUCUCUGAAAGCAAACUUGAACUCGGACAGCGGGCCGCUACAUGUGGAGAAAAUGAACUGUGAUAUUACCGAAGUUAGCAGUCUCAUUGCAGCCCCAUGCAAAGAAGGCAAUAAUAGCCAUAUGGGCAUUGCGCCACGGGAAGCAAAAUCAGACGAGAGCAAUGUGUCGCAGCAUGCAGAGAAGCCACCUUCAGUAUGGGGUUGCAGUGAUUGCCAAGUUAUCUGUGGUCGCGAAUCAGAUUUUGAGGUCCACCUGAAGGGUGAAAGGCACUUAAAGAAGAUUGGAGCCCUGCUCGAAGAAAGCAAGACCAUGGCGAUAUCCGAGUCACAGAAAGCAAACUUGUACCCGGACAGCGUGCUGCAGCAUGCGGAGAAAAUGAAUUGUGAAUUAGACUUGGAGAACAACCUCAGAGAUGAGGGACACCAACUAAAUGUUCGCUCCCCUUGCAAAGAAAACAGCCAAAUGAAAAACAAUCCUCCAGAAAUUGUCAACGACCAAGAACCACCCUCAGAAUGGGAUUGUGCUAUGUGUCAGGAAAAAUGUAACUCUGAAUCUCAGAUUGAGCAUCAUUGUGAAAGCAGAAGGAAUCAAGAGAAGACCCACGUGAUACUCCGCAAAGGCGAUAUUGCGAUAGUGAACAGUCUCCACAUCACAGCCUCAUGCAAGGAAGGCGAUAACAGCACGGGCAUUACACCACAGGAAGCAAAAUUAGACGAAAACAAUGUGCAGCAGCAUGCAGAGAAGCCACCUCCGGCAUGGGAUUGCAGCGUUUGCCAACUUACGUGUAACCGCGAAUCGGAUUUGGUGUUCCACCUAAACGGUAAAAGGCACUUAAAGAAGUUUCGGGCCCUACUCGAAGAAAGCAAGAAUAAGGCAAUGAAUUCUGAGUCACAGACAAUAAACUGGAACCAGGACAGUGUGCCGCAACAUGCGGAUAAAACAAAUUGCAAACCAAACUGGGAGAGCUACCUUGGACUCGGAGACGAGACACACCAACUCAAUGUUCAGGCCAUCGGCGAAGCAAUCAACCAAGAUAAAAACAGUCCGUCAAAAAAAGACCAGAUACUGCCCUCAGAAUGGAACUGCGCUAUGUGCCAGGCCAAAUGUAACUCAAAAGCUCAAUUUGAGCAUCACUGCACAAGCAGAAAGCAUCAGCAGAAGAUCCAGGUUAUACUUGGCGAAGGUGGUAUUGCAAAAGUAAGCAGUCUCCACAUGGAAGCAUCAUGCAAAGAAGGCAGUAACAACGAUAUGGUGAACAGCGUUGUGUCACAGGAUGCAAAAUCGCCUGAGAAAAAUGUGCCACAGCAUGCAGAGAAGCCACCUAUAGUAGGUUGCAGCAUUUGCCGAGUUAUCUGUGGCCGCGAAUCAGACCUAGAGGUCCACCUGAAGGGUAAAAGGCACUUAAAGAAGAUUCGAGCUCUAUUCGAAGAAAGCAAUAAGGCAAUCAAUUCUGAGUCUCUGAAAGCAAACUUGAACCUGGACAGCGGGCCGCUUAAUGUGAAGAAAAUGAAUUGUGACUUAGACUCGGAGAACCACCUCAGAGAUGAAAGACACCAAGAGGAAAACAGUCCACCAGAAAUUUCCCAAGACCAAACACCAUCCUCGGAAUGGGAUUGUGUUAUGUGCCAGGCCAAAUGCAUCUCUAAAGCCCAUUUCGAGAAUCACUGCAUAAGCAGAAAGCAUCAACGGAGGACCCAGGUGAUACAAAGCGAAGGUGAUAUCACGAAAACGGGCAGGACCCAUGUGGUACUCAGCGAAGGCGAUAUCACGAAAAUGGGCAAUCUCCACAUGGAAGCGUCAUGCAAAGAAGGUGGUAACAACGAUAUGGCAAAGGACUUUGGGUCACAGGAAGUAAAAUCGCAUGAGAGCGAUGUGCCAGAGCAGGAGUCACCUUCAGUACAGGGUUGCAGCAUUUGCCAAGGUAUCUGUAACUGCAAAUCAGACUUAGAUAUCCACCUGAUGAGUACAAGAAUCCGAGCUGUCGCAGAAAAAUGCAAGAACACGGCAAUGAGUUCUGAGUCACAGAAAGCAAAGUUGAAUCCAAAUGACGUGCCACAACAUGUAGAGGAAACGAGUUGCAAAUUAAACUGGGAGAGCUACCCCAGACUCGGAAACGAGAAUCUCCAACUGAUGGAUGAUCAGGCCCUUUUUGAAAAAAUCAACCAAGAUAAUAACAAUGCACCAGAAAUUGCCAAGGACCAAAUACCAUCCUCAGAAUGGCAUUGCGCUACAUGCCAGGCCAAAUGUAAUUCUAGGGCUCAAUUUGAGAAUCACUGCAUGAGCAGAAAGCAUCAAAGGAAGGCCCAGGUGAUGCUUGCCAGAGGCAAUUUGUCGUAA